CCCUUUGUAAAUGUACGCCCCCGAAUCAGAAUAUACAAUUAGCUAUAAAAAAUAAAAUCAGGCCAGGCGUUGUGGCUUACACCUAUAAUCCCAGCACUUUGGGAGGCCGAGGCGGGCGGAUCACCUGCUGAGGUCAGGAGUUCAAGACCAGCCUGGCUAACAUGGUGAACCUCCACUUCUACUAAAAAUACAAAAAAUUAGCUGGCCGUGGUGGCACAUGCCUGUAACCCCAGCUACUUGGGAGGCUGACGCAGGAGAAUCUCUUGAACCCGGAAAGCAGAGGUUGCAGUGAGCUAAGAUUGCGCCACUGCACUCCAGCUUGGGCAACAAGAGCAAAACUCCGCCUCAAAAAUAAAAUAAAUAGAAUAAAUGAUUUUCUUUGGUUUGAUCUUUCCUAAAUAAAAAUGAAUCACAAGCAGUAUACAGGAGCAAGGUACAAAAGGAACACAAAGAGAGUGACCCUUCACAACAUGGAUAGAAGAUACAAUUGUAUUUAAGCCUCAAGUAUUAAGCUUUGCAAGUAAGAGAAAAUUAACAAACAGUAUCCGCCCCCAAAAACAAACAUAACAGAUGUGUAUGAAUGUAGUAUUUAGAAUUAUUCUAGCACAGCAAGACUUUUUACUGUAACUUCACUAUAAAUAUAGACAUAAAUGCAAAGUUUGAGACAUCAAGAACCAAUUUUUAAAGGUACAUUUCCUGGAAUUAGAGCCACUACCUACCAAAAAUUCAUUUUGGAAUUCAUAUGUAGAAAUAUUUUAAACCUUAAAAUUUAAAAAUCUAUCCCUAUUAAAACUAAAUACAUUAUUAAGUGGGUUAGUUUAACAGGCCUCCUUCCACUCUGUGCAAAAAAAUAGGGAUUUUUGUCUGGAUAUGUAAUUUUGUUUAUCCAUAUUUGAGAACGUUCACCUCAGAAAAUGGCAUUUAAAGGACUUCAGUAACAUAGUUUUAUUCUUGUUCAGCUAUUUCUGAACAAGAAUCUAUAAAAUCUAACUUGUAAAUUCCAAAAAUAAAGCUUCGUGUACCUUAUCUUGAU
Molecule: long non-coding RNA, 1033 nt
Filed under: Homo sapiens (human)
Lineage: Eukaryota; Metazoa; Chordata; Mammalia; Primates; Hominidae
Description: HSALNT0044616
Source: RNAcentral